AUGCCGGGGGUGGCGGGACUCUCCUCCUCGGGAGGUGGUCAGCUAGGUGACUCUGUGGGGCAUGUGCUUCUUUGGUCCACGAGUGUCGUGAGAGGCGUGAGGCUCCUUCGGUGGACACGAAUGUGGUUCUAUGGUGAGUAUUGGCUCGUGCAGCUUUCGAAAGAGGAUGAUCGACUUCAAGCUCGAGGAUGGCCUCACAACGACAAGUGCAAAUUAUGUGACCAGGAGCCUGAAACUGCGGAUCACAUCGUGUUGCUGUGCUCUUACUCAAAAGAGGUUUGGUUCCAGUUCCGGCAGCCAAAUGCUGCGUUGUGGGAUAUUGCUGCCGUGGCCCAAUCCAUCUGGGAAUGCUGGGACAGAUUAUGCAUUGCAAACCGGCCAAAAGAGACAGUAAACGAGGAGAUCACAUUGGCGGCAUACAUAUAG
Molecule: ribosomal RNA, 426 nt
Filed under: Triticum aestivum (bread wheat)
Lineage: Eukaryota; Viridiplantae; Streptophyta; Magnoliopsida; Poales; Poaceae
Description: partial small subunit ribosomal RNA
Source: RNAcentral